GUGGCUGUAGAUCAGUUGGUAGAUCCCCAGUCUGUGAUACUGGUAGUCGCGGGUUCGAGUCCCGUCAGUCACCCCA
This 76-nucleotide transfer RNA is filed under the name Vibrio parahaemolyticus. Its description in RNAcentral is "tRNA-His". It matches the Rfam family "tRNA". From Rfam's summary of the family: Transfer RNA (tRNA) molecules are approximately 80 nucleotides in length. The record is from RNAcentral. Lineage: Bacteria; Pseudomonadati; Pseudomonadota; Gammaproteobacteria; Vibrionales; Vibrionaceae.